Molecule: ribosomal RNA, 305 nt
Filed under: uncultured bacterium
Lineage: Bacteria
Description: bacterial SSU rRNA
Rfam family: Bacterial small subunit ribosomal RNA
Source: RNAcentral
CUUUCCUACGGGGGGCAGCAGUCGGGAAUAUUGCGCAAUGGAGGAAACUCUGACGCAGUGACGCCGCGUAUAGGAAGAAGGUUUUCGGAUUGUAAACUAUUGUCGUUAGGGAAGAUACAAGACAGUACCUAAGGAAGAAGCCCCGGCUAACUAUGUGCCAGCAGCCGCGGUAAUACAUAGGGGGCAAGCGUUAUCCGGAUUUAUUGGGUGUAAAGGGUGCGUAGACGGAGAAACAAGUUGGUUGUAUAAUCCCUCGGCUCAACUGAGGAACUGCAACCAAAACUAUUUCCCUUGAGUGUCGGAGG